This 1372-nucleotide ribosomal RNA is filed under the name uncultured bacterium. RNAcentral describes it as "bacterial SSU rRNA". It matches the Rfam family "Bacterial small subunit ribosomal RNA", at positions 28 to 1381 of the family's 1533-position model. The record is from RNAcentral.
GAUGAACGCUGGCGGCGUGCCUAAUACAUGCAAGUCGAGCGAACGGACGAGAAGCUUGCUUCUCUGAUGUUAGCGGCGGGCGGGUGAGUAACACGUGGAUAACCUACCUAUAAGACUGGGAUAACUUCGGGAAACCGGAGCUAAUACCGGAUAAUAUUUUGAACCGCAUGGUUCAAAAGUGAAAGACGGUCUUGCUGUCACUUAUAGAUGGAUCCGCGCUGCAUUAGCUAGUUGGUAAGGUAACGGCUUACCAAGGCAACGAUGCAUAGCCGACCUGAGAGGGUGAUCGGCCACACUGGAACUGAGACACGGUCCAGACUCCUACGGGAGGCAGCAGUAGGGAAUCUUCCGCAAUGGGCGAAAGCCUGACGGAGCAACGCCGCGUGAGUGAUGAAGGUCUUCGGAUCGUAAAACUCUGUUAUUAGGGAAGAACAUAUGUGUAAGUAACUGUGCACAUCUUGACGGUACCUAAUCAGAAAGCCACGGCUAGCUACGUGCCAGCAGCCGCGGUUAUACGUAGGUGGCAAGCGUUAUCCGGAAUUAUUGGGCGUAAAGCGCGCGUAGCGGUUUUUUAGUCUGAUGUGAAAGCCCACGGCUCAACCGUGGAGGGUCAUUGGAAACUGGAAAACUUGAGUGCAGAAGAGGAAAGUGGAAUUCCAUGUGUAGCGGUGAAAUGCGCAGAGAUAUGGAGGAACACCAGUGGCGAAGGCGACUUUCUGGUCUGUAACUGACGCUGAUGUGCGAAAGCGUGGGGAUCAAACAGGAUUAGAUACCCUGGUAGUCCACGCCGUAAACGAUGAGUGCUAAGUGUUAGGGGGUUUCCGCCCCUUAGUGCUGCAGCUAACGCAUUAAGCACUCCGCCUGGGGAGUACGACCGCAAGGUUGAAACUCAAAGGAAUUGACGGGGACCCGCACAAGCGGUGGAGCAUGUGGUUUAAUUCGAAGCAACGCGAAGAACCUUACCAAAUCUUGACAUCCUUUGACAACUCUAGAGAUAAAGCCUUCCCCUUCGGGGGGGGCAAAGUGACAGGUGGUGCAUGGUUGUCGUCAGCUCGUGUCGUGAGAUGCUGGGUUAAGUCCCGCAACGAGCGCAACCCUUAAGCUUAGUUGCCAUCAUUAAGUUGGGCACUCUAAGUUGACUGCCGGUGACAAACCGGAGGAAGGUGGGGAUGACGUCAAAUCAUCAUGCCCCUUAUGAUUUGGGCUACACACGUGCUACAAUGGACAAUACAAAGGGCAGCGAAACCGCGAGGUCAAGCAAAUCCCAUAAAGUUGUUCUCAGUUCGGAUUGUAGUCUGCAACUCGACUACACGAAGCUGGAAUCGCUAGUAAUCGUAGAUCAGCGUGCUACGGUGAAUACGUUCCCGGGUCU